This is a small nucleolar RNA of Chionomys nivalis (European snow vole), 107 nucleotides long. RefSeq annotates it as small nucleolar RNA SNORA31. The record is from RefSeq and is a predicted model, not a curated record. The transcript has a single exon. NCBI's taxonomy places the organism in Eukaryota, Metazoa, Chordata, Mammalia, Rodentia, Cricetidae.
GGGCAUGGAUUAGAAAUUUCAUUGUAGCACUAGGAUGCCAAAGAAAAUGCUCUCCGCGCUUCCUGUCUGUCUCUGUGGCAGUCCAGAUUGAAUUGGAGAGUACAUGU